This 95-nucleotide non-coding RNA is filed under the name Desulforapulum autotrophicum. RNAcentral describes it as "Desulfobacterium autotrophicum Glycine sequence". It matches the Rfam family "Glycine riboswitch aptamer". From Rfam's summary of the family: This family represents the bacterial glycine riboswitch. Lineage: Bacteria; Pseudomonadati; Thermodesulfobacteriota; Desulfobacteria; Desulfobacterales; Desulfobacteraceae. The record is from RNAcentral.
GGACGAGCCUCUGGAGAGUCUCAUUAUGGGCGCCGAAGGAGCAAACCGGUCUGUUGCCGGUGAAACUCUCAGGUACAAGGGACAGAGUGGAAUAG